GACGAACGCUGGCGGCGUGCCUAACACAUGCAAGUUGAGCGACGAACCAGGGCUUGCCCUGGGGCAAAGCAGCGAACGGGUGAGUAACACGUGGGUAACGUGCCCCGAUAACCGGGACAACCCGAGGAAACUCGGGCUAAUACCGGAUGUGCCCAUCAGACACCAGUCUGAUGUGUAAAGGAAGCUUCGGCCUCCGUAUCGGGAGCGGCCCGCGGCCCAUUAGUUAGUUGGUGAGGUAACGGCUCACCAAGACCGCGAUGGGUAGCUGGUCUGAGAGGACGAUCAGCCACACUGGGACUGAGACACGGCCCAGACUCCUACGGGAGGCAGCAGUGGGGAAUCUUGCGCAAUGCGCGAAAGCGUGACGCAGCAACGCCGCGUGGGGGAAGAAGGCCUUCGGGUUGUAAACCCCUUUCAGUUGGGACGAAGCUUCGCCGGUGAAUAGCCGGCUGGAGUGACGGUACCUUCACAAGAAGCCCCGGCUAACUACGUGCCAGCCGCCGCAGUAACAC
Molecule: ribosomal RNA, 512 nt
Filed under: uncultured bacterium
Lineage: Bacteria
Description: bacterial SSU rRNA
Rfam family: Bacterial small subunit ribosomal RNA
Source: RNAcentral